This is a long non-coding RNA of Penaeus vannamei (Pacific white shrimp), 1381 nucleotides long. RefSeq lists it as uncharacterized. NCBI's taxonomy places the organism in Eukaryota, Metazoa, Arthropoda, Malacostraca, Decapoda, Penaeidae. The record is from RefSeq and is a predicted model, not a curated record.
CUGGCAAUCUCACGACCUUCUGCCAUAUACACAAACCGUAGCACACUGAGCUAUCGACUAGUGUGACUCACAUACCCACGAGAUUGGUUGUAGGAUAGUGAAGGAUUAGUGAAUCACCGGGCAGUUUUCUCACAUAAAUAAAACAGAAGUCAUGAGUGUCACGUCAACAGAUUCGCUCAAGACCUGGGAAUCUGCUUUCAUUGCUUAUCUCCGAGAUUCAAAUUACCAGAACACACAUCUCAAGGAAAACAACAUCAAGAACAUCUACAAUCUGUUAUUUGUUUAUGAGUGCCGCGACAAAAAUAUGGGUGAGCCUCCCCAUAUAGAAGAGCUAAUUAUGUUUAUGAUAGAAAAUGGGAGUUUAUCACGUGACAAUGAUGUGUAUAGACUACGCUAAAAAAAACAUGGUGUAUGAACUAAUUCAUUGAAUUAAUUGUACUGGUGAGUCGUUUGUCAAUGUAUAUUAGACAAGAUUUUAGAAUCAUCUAAUUCUGAGUAUUUAUAUCCAAUGCGUCAUCCACGACCGUGUGGGUUGCUAGAUUGCUAUUAUAACCAUAUUUUUUUCUUCAGUAUCGCCGAGAGGGCCAUUAGGCUCUCAAUAUUUGUGGCUGUAUAUAUUAUAUUACUAGAUACUUGCCAGGGUCCGAACAAUUGACUAAAAUUAUUUGUCUAGCUUACUAACGAUCUGAAUAACUAAAUUACCAUUUUAAUUUCGUAAAAGCGGGCCCAGCAUUGUUUUUUCUUCUUUAAACUUAACAUCUUUAUAAUUUACGUGUAAAUAGUAAACUCAUUUGCUUGAUACAAGGGAAGUUGAAAUAUCUUUGUUUUAAGUAUUAGAUGAAAAGUUGGUAGAAAAAGAGACCUAAGCGAUAUCAUUAGUGAUUUCCGUAUUGGAAAGCACGUACUGCUAUCAUAUAUGAGUACUAGCAGAGUUCAUCUCAAACACCAUCAAGGCCCACGAAGUACGAACGAAAAUAUUUUCUUUGAGAAGGAAAGAUAUAUAGGCCCAACACUCUUGAAUUGCUCUCGAUUCCCCUAAGUUUCUGUAGUUGUUAAGCUUUGGAAUGCAUUGUCAGCACUGCUAAAUCAUAUAUACGAGACCUGUCAGUAGUAUGAUUUUUUUUCUUUUAUGUGAACUGCAGUCUUUAGUGUAGCAUUUACAAUUAAGAAAUAUCAAUAAAAAUAUUUUCAAAUAUCGUAUAUAGUGUUUUUAAUAAUUUUAUAUGUUUGUAUCCAUCUGAUCCCCCCCCCCACCAAGUACCCGUAAUUAUUUGAAAUAAACGCAUAGGACUCCCUGUUAAUUGACAAUAUUUUUAAACGUUUAAAUUUUGCCAUUUUACGUUCGGUACUUGUAAGAUCAUAUAAAUAAAUAUUAAUUAGC